UCCAGGUCUCUUGUGGCUUGAAGAGAAAAAGAAACCAGUUACAGGGUCAUUUUCUUUCUUUCUUUUUUUUUUUUUUUUUUUAACUGGUAUCAGGGAUCAAACUCACGACCACGCGUUUACAAGGAAGGCACUUUAUGCCGCUGAGCUAAAUCCCCAGCUCCAUGCAGCGUCAUUUUCAUGUGUGUGUGUGUGGUUUUUCCUGCAAGACCAUCACCUUCACUGUGAGACAGGAGGAGAUUUUAGCACUGGAGCCAGCAGAGCAAAAUUCAGAAGCAAAGGGAUCCAGCAUCCUGGUCCUUGGUUCCUCUGCACUUCUGGCAGGGCAGGGUACGGCUCCAGAGCCCCACUUGGUGGUUUCCCUGGGAUAGCACUCACAACUGCCUGCUUGCAAGACAGGCGCUUAUGCCGCUGAUUUAAAUCCCCAGCCCCAAGACUUCCGGGAGAACAUGGCGGACAGAUAACAGCAACUACCGGAGGCUCUCUGAAAGACUCGGCUCAGAAGCCAGGAAUGGUGCGGACUAAGGAGACAUAAGCAGGUGGAGAUAUGCUCUGCUGACUCAGGAACGAACUGGGCUGAGAGAAACCAACUUGGAAUGCAGUCCUGGUGCUAAAACAGGAACAGAAAAGCCUCGGUGUGGAGGCUGGACCCCGCGCCAUUGGAAGCCACGAUUUGGGUUUCCCGCCAUGCGGCGGCUGGCUGCCUCUACAGUGGCUCGGCAAGGAGAGAGACGUGCAGAAGCUCUGAGAACGGCAAUCUGCGAACGGCAGGGAGGCGUGCACUGACUUGUGGUGAGGUGAGUGAGAGAAACUGACACUCUACCACAGUUUGACUCCAGCAGAGGACUUUCUGGGCCCAAGCAGUCCUGCGGGAGCAGGGCACGGUGGCGACUCCAGCCACACAUCCCCCUCUUGGGCGGGAUUGGUAAAAAGUGCCUGGCCUGCGUGAUGCUGCCGGCGGACCUGGUAGGCUGUCCCAACCCAGAUCCCAGAGCCUGACAGUGGCCGGGAGGGGAGACGCAUAGGCUGCCUGGUCCGUAACUCCCUGGUGCGCAGCGGUGAGUGGGAACACCUAACCAGCACAAUUCGAUCAGGCUGUGGCUGACUGGGAGAGAAGCUGGGCCUCUUAUAUAAGCUUGCAUAUAUAAGGAACAGAGAAGAAGAGGCAGCAUGGGAAGAGGCAGCAACAAGAAAGGCUCCUCGGCCCCCAAUUCUGAGAAACAGGCAAUAGCAGACACCGCACCAAUACACAUAAGGCGCCAUAUAGAGAGCCUCAUAGACCAAUUCAGGAAUGAAGUUAUCAACGACCUGAAGCUAGAAGUAUGCAGAAUAGUUAGAGAAAUGCUAAGUACCACCCAAGAAAAAACAGAUGGUGGAAUGGAAGAACAGAAAAAAAGGGGAGAAUUGUUUGAUGGAGAAAACAGAGAAAGCAUAGAAUACGUGAAGCAGGUUCAAAGAGACUACCAAGAUACUAAGAAGUCUAUAGAAGACUGGCAUAACAGCUUGAAAGAAACUAAGGACAGACUAUCUGAACUGGAGGGCAGACUUGUAAUAUGGGAGAAUGAAAUAAAAAACUUCUUAAAAAUAACAAAGAAACAAACAGCAAUAAUACAAAGACAAGAAGAUGAUAAGAGGAGCCAUAACUUAAGGAUUAAGAACAUAAAAGAAGAAGUAGGGACACAGACAAGUGAACUACAAAAGCUACUCACAGAAAUAAUCCAGGAGAAUUUUCCUAAUUUAGCAAAA
Molecule: long non-coding RNA, 1743 nt
Organism: Cavia porcellus (domestic guinea pig)
Lineage: Eukaryota; Metazoa; Chordata; Mammalia; Rodentia; Caviidae
Exons: 2
Source: RefSeq, a predicted model, not a curated record